This 468-nucleotide ribosomal RNA is filed under the name uncultured bacterium. RNAcentral's name for it is "partial 16S ribosomal RNA". It matches the Rfam family "Bacterial small subunit ribosomal RNA", at positions 28 to 507 of the family's 1533-position model. The record is from RNAcentral.
GACGAACGCUGGCGGCGUGCUUAACACAUGCAAGUCGAACGGAAAGGCCCUGCUUUUGUGGGGUUCUCGAGUGGCGAACGGGUGAGUAACACGUGUGUAACCUGCCCUUGUCUUUGGGAUAACUUCAGGAAACUGGGGCUAAUACCGGAUAUGAGCUCCUGCUCCAUGGUGGGGGUUGGAAAGUUUCGGCUGUUGGGGAUGGACUCGCGGCUUAUGAGCUUGUUGGUGGGGUAGUUGCUUACCAAGGCUUUGACGGGUAGCCGGCCUGGGAGGGUGGCCGGCGACAAUGGGACUGAGAGACGGACCAGACUCGUACGGGAGGCAACAGGGGGGAGUAUUGCACAGUGGGCGGAAGCGUGAGGCAGAAACGCCGCGUGCGGGAUGACGGCCUUUGGGUUGUAAACCGCUGUCGCCUGUGACGAAGCGUGAGUGACGGUAAUGGGUAAAGAAGCACCGGCUAACUACGUG